AUCUGGGUGGAAUCCGGGCGGGAUCCGGGUGAGAUGUUGGUGGGAUACGAGCGGGAUCCGGGCAGGAUCCGGGUGAGAUCCGGGCGGGAUCCAGGAGGGAUGCGGGAUCCGGGCAGGAUCCGAGUGGGAUGCGGGUGGGAUCCCGGCGGGAUCCGGGCGGGCGCUGCGGGACCGGCACCGGCAGAGGGAGCUCGGGCCGGCGGCACCGAAUUUUGGCUUCCCUUUGGCAGGGUCCCCACCCCAAGAAAGCGAUGAUGCGAGUUGAAUUCAGGCAGCAGAAUUCCAGGAUCUCGUGGCACAUUCAUCUAGGGGAAGACAAAGCCCCAAAGUUCAGGCAGGAAGAAGGAUUAUGGAAUCAUGGAAAACCCUGAUACAGCUCCAGCUGCUCCCUGGCUCUUCCCCUGUCACAGGGGCAGAGAUGGGAGCUGCCCCGGCAUGAAGGAUUCAUUAUGAACAUUUUCAAUGUGAGAGAUGAGGCCAAUGUUUCAGGGAUCCAAGGAACCAGGCUGCUGCAGGAAUGUGUUCUGUGGCAGGAUAUCAGAUUCCUUAAUUUCUUACUGUCUCUCCUGGCAUCUGGGAUAGAGACUCUUCCUGAAGGAUCUCUAAUCCCUGGAUUUUCAGAGGACAAAAACCAUCAGAACCUGAAAUCUCUCUCUGGGGCCCUGAGCAAGCUGAUCCAUCCCUGCCCAUGGAAUGAGAUGAUGUUUAGGGUCCCUUCCAACCCAAACCAUUCCUUGAUUCUCCAAUUCCCUGAUUCUCUGCUUGGAGUUGCAUGUAUUUCUCUUUUCCUGGCACUCAGCAGGUGGGGGCAGGAAUGGACGCUCAGGGCUAGGGCACAGCUGAGGGACAAGGGACAGUUGGGCUGCUUUUGUCACCUCCUGGCUGCAGAUGAUGCAAGGGAAAAGCUCGAGUGGCUCCUGGCACUCCAGACUCUGAUUUGCCAACAGGCAGCUGGAAAUAGCACAUGGAAUGGCAUUUCUUAAGGUCUGACCACCUUGAAUUCCCAAGGAAUGUUUGAUUGAGGUCUAACCCUGCUGAAUUUUCAAGGAAAGGACUGAGCCACGUGGCUCUCUGCUACACUCGGGCAAGAGGAUGAAGUGCUCUUCUUCCAGGUCACUUCUAUAUCUAAGCCAUAAAUCCCAAAAAAGUGGGGAAGGGUUGUUAGAAAUGCUCCAUCCACCACAGGGCCCUGUUGUGCUGGGUGCACCUCAGCUGUUCCUGCAGCCUCCCAAUAAAUCUGUGUCAA
Molecule: long non-coding RNA, 1246 nt
Organism: Haemorhous mexicanus (house finch)
Lineage: Eukaryota; Metazoa; Chordata; Aves; Passeriformes; Fringillidae
Exons: 2
Source: RefSeq, a predicted model, not a curated record